CUCUCUAGCGCGUUUUCGCGUUCUCACCUCUCGGGCGAUCGCCUCCUUUUGACUUCGUAGCGAUGGAGAAGAAGGACGAUCCGACAUUUUCCGGGAAACUGCUCGAUUCGCGUGUUCUUCUGACUCGCGACUCGUGAGGGAAUUUUUGCUCGGAUUCUGUUGCAGACGGUAGCGGCAUUCGUGAUUGCGGUGGUUGGGUAGGUGCGUGCGUCCUUUCGUCGAUUCCCCUGCGCCCGUCGAUCCCGGAACAAGGUUGAUCUCUUGUCAUAAUCAGUUCUUGCGGAUUAGGGUAAAAUGCGUGCACCGUCAUUGCUUGCACAGUGUUUACCUUGGUUCACGCCCCAUGACCGUGGGAGUCAGAAUGUGCCAUCUAUUCCGGAAAGAGCCUGCCUUCUCCAGCUGUGGAAAUUCUUCUGUCCAAGACAACUCAUCCUUACAAAUAUGCUGGAGAAAGUGUUGACAUGCAAGGUCUUACCGUAUUACCUGAACUUAAUAUGAUGGAGUCUUUCGGAACAAGCACCAAUCUCCUAAGUAACCCGGCUGUUACCCAUAACCUCGAAGCCCAGCUUUGAUGCUGACAG
Long non-coding RNA from Eucalyptus grandis, 581 nucleotides. RefSeq lists it as uncharacterized. The record is from RefSeq and is a predicted model, not a curated record. Lineage: Eukaryota; Viridiplantae; Streptophyta; Magnoliopsida; Myrtales; Myrtaceae. The transcript is spliced from 3 exons.